UACAGAGGGGGCAAGCGUUGUUCGGAAUUACUGGGCGUAAAGGGCGCGUAGGCGGCCUGCUAAGUCGAACGUGAAAUCCCCGAGCUCAACUCGGGAACUGCGUCCGAUACUGACAGGCUUGAAUCCGGGAGAGGGAUGCGGAAUUCCAGAUGUAGCGGUGAAAUGCGUAGAUAUGCGGAGGAACACCGAUGGCGAAGGCAAUCCCCUGGGCCUGUACUGACGCUCAUGCACGAAAGCGUGGGGAGCAAACAGG
RNAcentral lists this ribosomal RNA (253 nucleotides) under uncultured bacterium. Its description in RNAcentral is "partial 16S ribosomal RNA". It matches the Rfam family "Bacterial small subunit ribosomal RNA", at positions 524 to 776 of the family's 1533-position model. The record is from RNAcentral.